Molecule: long non-coding RNA, 460 nt
Filed under: Solanum tuberosum (potato)
Lineage: Eukaryota; Viridiplantae; Streptophyta; Magnoliopsida; Solanales; Solanaceae
Description: long non-coding RNA (STUB_LNC010022)
Source: RNAcentral
GGUUUGCUUGCACGCUUAUGUUAUUAUCAUUUCCUCUAAGUAAGAGAGAACGAUAUGAUGGUAGUGGUUGUUGGUUUGUAUUCACAUCAAUGCCAUCAAUGUUACCUCUAUUGAGCUACUGUGAUAUAAGGGUGGUGGUGUUGUUGGUAGUUGAAGAUUUUUAUGCACAAUUUGUCCAUCAUCAUUACCUCUAAUCAAUUGCGGGCACCAUAUGAGGAUGGUGGUGGAGACAUCAACAGAGUUCCUCCAUGUUGGACUGAUUCUAAAGGUUUUGGUAAUGGUUCACAUUAUCACAUAGGCUGUUUAAACCUUGUAAUAUGCAACAUGGGUGAUUUUUUUUGGUCUAACACCACUGUUAGAUAGCUACAAUGCUUGUAAACUUCAGCCUCUAAACUCACAUGGAUUUGACUAAGUCUGGAAGACUUAUCUCACUGUUUCGCAGCGUACUUAAUUAACAAAC